Non-coding RNA from Strongylocentrotus purpuratus (purple sea urchin), 92 nucleotides. The record is from RefSeq and is marked provisional. Lineage: Eukaryota; Metazoa; Echinodermata; Echinoidea; Camarodonta; Strongylocentrotidae.
CUUCAGAAAUCUCUAAGGUCAAGGAUCCUUGCCUCCUACCUUCCUACAGACUAAAUUUAUUGAUUACUUGCUUUGGAGUUCUUCUGGAGAGG